Molecule: non-coding RNA, 1515 nt
Organism: Pelobates cultripes (western spadefoot toad)
Lineage: Eukaryota; Metazoa; Chordata; Amphibia; Anura; Pelobatidae
Source: the annotation of a GenBank genome assembly
GUUAAGCAUGUUAAGUAUAAAUCUUGCUGAAUCUCAGAUUGAAGUAAUGAAGGUAAGAAAUUGGAUUAGAAUUUUAGAUAUUUUACAUGAUGAAUGAUCAUUGCAUGGUACAAUAGUCUUCCGAAAAAGUUGAUGAUUAAAGGGACACUGCCCAAAUAAAAAAUGAAUAAAUCACUAUAUCGUACCCCACAUUAAAACAUGUAAUAUAAAUGUAAAUGUUGUGGCUUCUCCCAAAUAUAUUGACUAAAACUAACAAGUUCUAUAAAUCACAUCGAGAUACCAAAUAUUUAAAUUAAUUUAGAGUAUUAAUAUAAACCUGCAUUAAUAAACUUCACACCUGCUGUAUUAAAGGGACAUUCCACUGCCCAAUUGCAAUAAAUGUAUCAUUAUUUUGUAGGUAUACCAUCAAUAAAAACAUGCAUGCAUUUAAUUAUACAUUUUUUUUUUUAACUAGUGCAUAUAAAAAAAAACAGCUUGCAAAAGUUUUAGAUCUCUUGUCUAUAGCCUUUGUAAACCUGUCCCUUCUACCACAACCCAGCCUUUCUGUGGCUGUCCAAUCACAGACCGUGAGAGGGCUGUAACAAGAUUAAUUUAUAAAAGUAUCAAUUUCUAUUGAAUUCUCCACUUUUUGUAAAAAUAAGAAAAGGAUACAAACUUCACAAACAAAGCACUUCAGCAAGCUACAGUACUUUAGGUGUUUGAAGUGUUUCUUUGACCCAAAGCAAUUUUGUGUUUAACAUUUGUAAUAUUUUGUUUUCUCUCCUUAGAACUUUCUUAUGAUAUCUGUCAAUGUUUGCAGAGCUUAAAAUCUUUGGACCCCACCGGCAAAACAGAGAAAUCACUGCAAGCAAUAUUUAAGAACCUUAAGCACAUUACUAUAGAAAUGUGCUUAAGUAGAGCUGCGGACCUUAUUCUAUUUGUUUUGAUUAAAUCAUGUAAAAUUUAUUAGAAUCUCUACUUUACCAAGUACUAUUUGUUUGUGUUUACUUCAUAAAAGGAUAUUUGCUUUGUCCCACUUAUUCCACAUUCUAAACACAUUUAUUAGAGUUUAGAGACACGUUAUAGUAAGUUUUAUUGCUGUGGAUCUCUGUUAUACACCCACAUACACCAACAAUAUGGAGAAAAAAGGGACUUUAGAAGAGAAAAGUGGAUUUGUGCCUAAAAUAGGGACUGUCCUUCCUAAAUUUUCUCAUUGCUGAACUCCAUUUUAUUUUUUUGUUUAAAAAAAAAAAAAAGAAUAAAAUGUUUAGCAACUUUCUGCAGCUUAACUUUACUCCCUUAGAACGGCAGUCAGAUCUCUCCUUGGAUCAAGAUGCAAUUACCCCACAAAUUAAAAAUUAUAUCCCUGAAUAUUAUGUUUUGCAAGUAUUCAUCCAGGUGCUGUUUAAACAUCUGUACAGACUCUGAAAAAAAAACUACCUCUUCUGGGAGAGAAUUUCAUAUCCUUGUUGUUCUUACUGUAAAAACCAUUUCCUUUGCUAGACUAAAUCUCUUUUCUUCCAGUCUAAAUGCGUG